CGGUUGAUCCUGCCGGAGGUUACUGCUAUCGGAGUUCGAUUAAGCCAUGCGAGUCUAAAGGUUUCUUCGGAAGCCUUGGCGGACUGCUCAGUAACACGUGGAUAACCUACCCUUGGGACUGGAAUAACCCCGGGAAACUGGGGAUAAUACCGGAUAGAUCAGGGAUGCUGGAAUGCACCUUGAUCCAAAGCUCCGGCGCCCAAGGAUGGGUCUGCGGCCUAUCAGGUUGUAGUGGGUGUAACGUACCUACUAGCCGACGACGGGUACGGGUUGUGAGAGCAAGAGCCCGGAGAUGGAUUCUGAGACACGAAUCCAGGCCCUACGGGGUGCAGCAGGCGCGAAACCUUUACAAUGUGCGAAAGCAUGAUAAGGGAACUCCGAGUGCCAGUAUCUAAUACUGGCUGUCCUUGUGCCUAAACCGCACAAGAUAGCAAGGGCCGGGUAAGACCGGUGCCAGCCGCCGCGGUAACACCGGCGGCCCGAGUGGUAGCCGCUAUUAUUGGGUCUAAAGGGUCCGUAGCCGGUUCGAUAAGUCCUCUGGGAAAUCUGGUUGCUUAACAAUCAGACUGCCAAGGGAUACUGUUGAACUUGAGACCGGGAGAGGUAAGAGGUACUUCAGGGGUAGGAGUGAAAUCUUGUAAUCCCUGGGGGACCAUCUGUGGCGAANGCGUCUUACCAGAACGGGUCUGACGGUGAGGGACGAAAGCUGGGGGCGCAAACCGGAUUAGAUACCCGGGUAGUCCCAGCCGUAAACGAUGCUCGCUNNGUGUCNNNACGUGUGACCGUAUCUGGUGCCGUAGGGAAGCCGUGAAGCGAGCCACCUGGGAAGUACGGUCGCAGACUGAAACUUAAAGGAAUUGGCGGGGGANCAC
This 872-nucleotide ribosomal RNA is filed under the name uncultured archaeon. Its description in RNAcentral is "bacterial SSU rRNA". It matches the Rfam family "Archaeal small subunit ribosomal RNA", at positions 5 to 879 of the family's 1478-position model. The record is from RNAcentral.